GCGGCGGUUACUGUGGUGUCCGGUUGCUUCUUAGAGGGACUUUGGGGCUCUAAGCCCUGAGGAAGAUUAGAGGCAAUAACAGGUCUG
RNAcentral lists this ribosomal RNA (87 nucleotides) under uncultured Babesia. Its description in RNAcentral is "partial small subunit ribosomal RNA". Lineage: Eukaryota; Apicomplexa; Aconoidasida; Piroplasmida; Babesiidae. The record is from RNAcentral.